CGGACGGGUGAGUAAUGCCUAGGAAUCUGCCUGGUAGUGGGGGACAACGUUUCGAAAGGAAUGCUAAUACCGCAUACGUCCUACGGGAGAAAGCAGGGGACCUUCGGGCCUUGCGCUAUCAGAUGAGCCUAGGUCGGAUUAGCUAGUUGGUGAGGUAAUGGCUCACCAAGGCGACGAUCCGUAACUGGUCUGAGAGGAUGAUCAGUCACACUGGAACUGAGACACGGUCCAGACUCCUACGGGAGGCAGCAGGC
Molecule: ribosomal RNA, 254 nt
Filed under: uncultured Pseudomonas sp.
Lineage: Bacteria; Pseudomonadati; Pseudomonadota; Gammaproteobacteria; Pseudomonadales; Pseudomonadaceae
Description: partial 16S ribosomal RNA
Rfam family: Bacterial small subunit ribosomal RNA
Source: RNAcentral